RNAcentral lists this ribosomal RNA (642 nucleotides) under uncultured bacterium. Its description in RNAcentral is "partial 16S ribosomal RNA". The record is from RNAcentral.
CCCAGUUACCAGUUUUACCCUAGGCGGCUCCUUCCCGGUUACCGACUUUAGGUACACCCGGCUUCCAUGGCUGGGGGGGCGGAGAGUGCAAGGUCCGGGAACGUAUUCACCGUAUCAUUGCUGAUAGGCGAUUACUAGCGAUUCCAGCUUCAAGAAGUCGAGUUGCAGACUGCAAUCUGAGCUGAGAGGCGUUUUUUGGGAUUGGCUCCUUAUCGGUUUUUCGCAGCCCAUUGUACGGCCCAUUGCGCCCUUUUUGUACCCCGGGGGGGGGGGGCCCGCCAAAACUUGACCUCCUCCCCUCCUUCCUCACGUCUUACGACGGCAGUUUCACUAAAGUUCCCAGCGUUACCUGAUGGCAACUACUGAUGGCGGUUGCGCUCGUUGCGGGACUUAACCCCAACACCUCAGGGACAAAAGAUGACGACAGCCGUGCCGCACCUUACUGGCGGUGUAUUGCUACAAAGAGAGCUUUCACCCUCGAAUCCCCCAGCAUUCGAGCCCAAGAAAAAUUCCACGCGUAUCAUCUAAUUAACCCCAUGCUCCACCGCUUUGUGCGGACCCCCGCCAAAUUCCGUUCUAACUUCAACCGUUGCGGCAAAAAAAUCAACGUGGACAAACUUCAUGCUAUCCCCUCAAACCCCC